GUCCUUAGUUACCAGCACGUUAUGGUGGGCACUCUAAGGAGACUGCCGGGUGACAAACCGGAGGAAGGUGGGGAGUGACGUCAAGUCAUCAUGGCCCUUACGGCCUGGGCUACACACGUGCUACAAUGGUCGGUACAAAGGGUUGCCAAGCCGCGAGGUGGAGCUAAUCCCAUAAAACCGAUCGUAGUCCGGAUCGCAGUCUGCAACUCGACUGCGUGAAGUCGGAAUCGCUAGUAAUCGUGAAUCAGAAUGUCACGGUGAAUACGUUCCCGGGCCUU
RNAcentral lists this ribosomal RNA (278 nucleotides) under uncultured Pseudomonas sp. Its description in RNAcentral is "partial 16S ribosomal RNA". It matches the Rfam family "Bacterial small subunit ribosomal RNA", at positions 1107 to 1382 of the family's 1533-position model. The record is from RNAcentral. Lineage: Bacteria; Pseudomonadati; Pseudomonadota; Gammaproteobacteria; Pseudomonadales; Pseudomonadaceae.